CCUCGCCCUACCGUCCCAUCUACCCCACCCUUCCAACCUCGAUCUUCUCUCCGUGUGGAGCUGGUGGCAGACGUACGGCCGAGGAGAUGAAGCAACGGCGGCGUGCCACCGCCACCUCCGAUGCACAGCGGCCACGGCACCAUCGGCACAAGAUUCGCGUGGGCAGCCCAGCCGUCGAGCAAGAGAGGCCUACCAACGACCGGCCAGAUUAGAGCCUCCGCUCAUCUCCGGUCCGUCAUCGUUCAGUUCCCGUGACCCGUGCACCGACGGAAGACCCUGGCCCCGCCUCCUCUGAACGUCGCAGUUCUUCUCCACGAAGAUUGUGCCCUUCAUAGUCUGACGGGGCGGUCACUGUUGUCAACAUCUUCGUGCUCUUCCUUCACGAGGAAAAUAGCAGAUGGUGUCGUCCAUGGCGUCGUCCCCAGCUCUAGCACGUCGGAGAUGACGGGCCACCAGUCAACACGAGCUCUACCAUG
RNAcentral lists this ribosomal RNA (476 nucleotides) under Triticum aestivum (bread wheat). Its description in RNAcentral is "partial small subunit ribosomal RNA". Lineage: Eukaryota; Viridiplantae; Streptophyta; Magnoliopsida; Poales; Poaceae. The record is from RNAcentral.